This 275-nucleotide ribosomal RNA is filed under the name uncultured Pseudomonas sp. RNAcentral's name for it is "partial 16S ribosomal RNA". It matches the Rfam family "Bacterial small subunit ribosomal RNA", at positions 1108 to 1382 of the family's 1533-position model. Lineage: Bacteria; Pseudomonadati; Pseudomonadota; Gammaproteobacteria; Pseudomonadales; Pseudomonadaceae. The record is from RNAcentral.
UCCUUAGUUACCAGCACGUUAUGGUGGGCACUCUAAGGAGACUGCCGGUGACAAACCGGAGGAAGGUGGGGAUGACGUCAAGUCAUCAUGGCCCUUACGGCCUGGGCUACACACGUGCUACAAUGGUCGGUACAAAGGGUUGCCAAGCCGCGAGGUGGAGCUAAUCCCAUAAAACCGAUCGUAGUCCGGAUCGCAGUCUGCAACUCGACUGCGUGAAGUCGGAAUCGCUAGUAAUCGUGAAUCAGAAUGUCACGGUGAAUACGUUCCCGGGCCUU